UUGUUAAAAUUAUUAAAACCUCGAGCUCACACUGAUCAUUCUUUUUUUUACUUUCAGAAAAUGAGGUGGAUGGGGAAACAGUAGAGUGUGGUCUCACGGAGAACAUGAUCUCACAUUUAUUUCAAGGCUCCUUUAAAAAACAGGCCAAGUUUAACAAAUUUGUACACAAGAUGAAGGAGGUGGGAACAACAACACUAUAAUCAGUGCCAGCAGAAUCCUAUCAACAAACUUUGACUACAGAAAUGCGAUUGCUGUCAUUGGUGAGGAUGCAUCCUCUGUUGAGGGUCAUGUGAAUGUCCUGCAUAUCCAGUACAGCAAAGUGCGACCAGACACCUUGGUGGUCAAAGACCGAAUGCAGCGAACGUUUGCGUGGCAAAGAAGGGAGAUAAGAGAUGGAAUGACUGUGGAGGAUAUACUUAAGAAAUACCCUUUCUUAAAAACACUCUCAGAGUUGUGUGAUUAAGUUGACCGAAUGCAUUCAUCAACUGUCAGUUUAAGCCAGCGCUUCAAGGAUGGC
This is a long non-coding RNA of Sinocyclocheilus rhinocerous, 517 nucleotides long. RefSeq lists it as uncharacterized. The transcript is spliced from 3 exons. The record is from RefSeq and is a predicted model, not a curated record. NCBI's taxonomy places the organism in Eukaryota, Metazoa, Chordata, Actinopteri, Cypriniformes, Cyprinidae.